UAAAGGUCAUUGAUGGUUUGCGUUUCUGAA
This 30-nucleotide non-coding RNA is filed under the name Mus musculus (house mouse). Lineage: Eukaryota; Metazoa; Chordata; Mammalia; Rodentia; Muridae. The record is from RNAcentral.